Molecule: ribosomal RNA, 255 nt
Filed under: uncultured bacterium
Lineage: Bacteria
Description: partial 16S ribosomal RNA
Rfam family: Bacterial small subunit ribosomal RNA
Source: RNAcentral
UACGGAGGGAGCUAGCGUUUGUUCGGAAUUACUGGGCGUAAAGCGCACGUAGGCGGCUUUGUAAGUUAGAGGUGAAAGCCCGGGGCUCAACCCCGGAAUUGCCUUUAAGACUGCAUCGCUUGAAUCCGGGAGAGGUGAGUGGAAUUCCGAGUGUAGAGGUGAAAUUUCGUAGAUAUUCGGAAGAACACCAGUGGAGAAGGCGGCUCACUGGACCGGUAUUGACGCUGAGGUGCGAAAGCGUGGGGAGCAAACAGG